Molecule: ribosomal RNA, 253 nt
Filed under: uncultured bacterium
Lineage: Bacteria
Description: partial 16S ribosomal RNA
Rfam family: Bacterial small subunit ribosomal RNA
Source: RNAcentral
UACGGAGGGCGCAAGCGUUGUUCGGAAUCACUGGGCGUAAAGCGCGUGUAGGCGGCUUGGCAAGUCGGGUGUGAAAUCCCGAGGCUCAACCUCGGAACCGCACUAGAAACUGCUUGGCUCGAGUCCCGGAGAGGGUGGCGGAAUUCCCGUUGUAGGGGUGAAAUCUGUAGAUAUCGGGAGGAACACCAGUGGCGAAGGCGGCCACCUGGACGGCGACUGACGCUGAGACGCGAAAGCGUGGGGAGCAAACAGG